GACGAACCGUGCGAACGUUGUUCGGAAUCACUGGGCUUAAAGAGUCCGUAGGCGGCAUGUUAGGUGAGGUGUGAAAUCCCCCGGCUCAACCGAGGAAUUGCGCUUCAAACCGGCGUGCUUGAGGAAGAUAGAGGUGGGCGGAACUGAUGGUGGAGCGGUGAAAUGCGUUGAUAUCAUCAGGAACACCGGAGGCGAAGGCGGCCCACUGGGUCUUUUCUGACGCUGAGGGACGAAAGCUAGGGGAGCGAACGGG
RNAcentral lists this ribosomal RNA (253 nucleotides) under uncultured bacterium. RNAcentral's name for it is "partial 16S ribosomal RNA". It matches the Rfam family "Bacterial small subunit ribosomal RNA", at positions 524 to 776 of the family's 1533-position model. The record is from RNAcentral.